This is a non-coding RNA of Delphinapterus leucas (beluga whale), 1374 nucleotides long. The record is from RefSeq and is a predicted model, not a curated record. Lineage: Eukaryota; Metazoa; Chordata; Mammalia; Artiodactyla; Monodontidae.
AAAGCCCGCGCACAGCAACGAAGACCCAAUGCAGCCAAAAAUAAAUAAUUUUUUUUUAAAAAGGGUGUAUGUGCUGGAGUAGGUGGCUACCCUUCAUGUCCUGCAGGGCAAAGGGAGACCAAGCUUUCCAAGACAAGCGGAAGUCAUGAGUCAGCCAUGACUGUAAGGCUGUCAGACUCACUUGGACACAUGGAAAGCUUACGAGGAAGGCUCUGUGCCCCUCAGGAAUGCAGCAACUCCCUUUGCCUUCUCUAGAUGCUCAGGGCCCCAGACUAUCAGCAAGAGGCUCCUGACGCCUGGGCCUUCCAUCAGGGUGAUGGAGGACAGGCUGCUGUGGUGGAUGGUUGUUUCCGGGCUGUGCCCAGUAAGACUAAGCAAGCGUGAGGGUAUCCAGGUGAUUUCUCCAGAGGAUGUGUCAGGCAGCAUAGAUCCCAGGUAGUUCAGGGUACCAUUCUGGGAGAUAUCUACCAUAGACCACAUCUGGAGUUGAACAGCUCAGGAAGUUGGCUUGCUCUAAGUGCAGCAGUUUACUUGGCAAGUGAUAAUGGGUCCCUGGGUCAGAAACGAGGGGCCUCAAAAAGGAUGGAAGUAGAAUAGUAAUCCUGGGUUACUGAUGCAGUAAAUGGCCAUCUGCUUGCCCAAAUAGGAUGAUGACCCUUUUGUUGGCUAGGUCAGCCUCUCUCUGAGGACUUUAAGGAAAGUUUGCUUGCCCUUCAUUCUAAUAGAACAAUGCUUUUCCAUUCUGGCUGCAGAUCGGAAAUCACCUUUGGAGCUUUAAGAAAUUCAGAUGCCCAGGCUCCAGCUCCAAAGAUUUGAUUCUAUGAAUGAAGGCCCCCAGUCUGCCAUGGUCUCUAGAGGAAGAAAUGGGUUAGCCAGGUCACAGAUGCCUCAGGAGUGUUAAAUGAGGACUCUUGUGGAAGAGGCGGCCCUGCACCCCUCUCUCCUCUCUCCAUGGCAACUGCUGUGGAGAGCACGCCAGAACAUCCUUCCGAAACUGCAUCAGAUGAAGCCUGCAUUUUACAGAGUAAGGGACCACCAAACUAGGUUCUAAACGUCCAGAUGUACAGAUGCAGGACCAUGGAUACAGAAGGCCAACUAUGGUGCUUGAGCAUCCAUGGAGUUUUGGUAUCUGAGGCAGGUCCUGGAACCAGUCCCCAAUGGAUAUCAAGAUGAAGAGGUCUGAGACAGGAAGAGGAAGUGCUACAGUGGGAGCUACACUGAAAGGCCUUCUCUGCCCACCCGGCCAUCUUAGUUUCAGGGGGAAGGAGCUAUUUCAGAGUCAAAAGUCCAACUUCGAUCACCCCAUAGAGAUGCACAGCAUCAGGAGAGCAAGGAGCCCACCUUACCUUUCAGCCAGUAUUUGUCACACACGGG